GGAGUGCUUUUGGUGUAGAAAAAUGAGAAAAUCACAGACCCAGUCGCUGCUUUCUACACACAGCGGACGUUACAGCUACCUCUAAUACGCCAUUCAUUGCGUUCUCUCUCCAUCUCUCUCUCUCUGUGAUCGUAGAAACCCUUUUUGCAUUGAACUUCUCUCGGUCCUCUCCCGCCCUCUGCCUCGGUUUCUCAGAAGGAAUCAGUUAAACGUCGUCUUCGUCGACUCCGAGCACCAAAGCGGCAUAGAAUACUGUUGGGGACUUUUUCAGAGGCUAGUUUUGCCAUGGAGAGCUCUGAUGAUGAAAAAGAUGGAAUCCUUGGGAAUUACAUUCCAAAAGAACUGGCCCAUGGUUUGGCAUCUAGUGGAGCAAAAUUUGUCGAUGAAGUACUUAAUAGCCAAAGUGAACACUGCUUGGAAAAUUUUCGCAUGGAUAAGCAUGUAUUUUACAAGUUGUGUGAUAUUUUGCAAGCCAAAGGCUUGCUACGUCACACAAAUCGAAUCAAGAUUGAGGAACAAUUAGCCAUUUUCAUGUUCAUAAUUGGCCACAAUCUACGUACAAGAGCUGUCCAAGAGUUAUUCCGAUAUUCAGGAGAAACCAUCAGUCGCCAUUUCAAUAAUGUUUUGAAUGCAAUUAUGGCAAUUUCUUUAGACUUCUUUCAGCCUCCGGGUUCAGAGAUCUUGGAAGAUCCAAGAUUCUAUCCAUACUUUCAGGAUUGUGUGGGAGCAGUUGAUGGUAUCCAUAUUCCAGUUAUGGUAGGUGUAGAUGAGCAAGGACCUUUCCGCAAUAAGAAUGGCAUGCUUUCACAAAAUGUUCUGGCAGCUUGCUCAUUUGAUCUCAAGUUCCAUUAUGUUCUAGCCGGCUGGGAAGGCUCAGCAUCAGAUUUGCAAGUCCUAAAUUCUGCACUGACAAGGCGAAACAAACUGCUGGUCCCUGAAGGUAAAUACUACCUUGUAGACAACAAGUAUGCAAAUAUGCCAGGUUUCAUUGCCCCAUAUCCAGGUGUUCCAUAUUGCUUAAAGGAAUAUCCGAGUGGCUAUCAUCCACAAGAUGCCAGAGAGCUAUUUAAUCAACGACACUCGUUGUUACGAAAUGCCACUGAUCGGAUCUUUGGCGCUUUGAAGGCACGAUUCCCAAUAUUGAUGUCUGCUCCUCCAUACCCAUUACAAACACAGGUCAAGUUGGUUGUGGCAACAUGUGCAAUACACAAUUACAUCCGGAGGGAGAAACCAGAUGAUUGGAUUUUUAGAAAGUAUGAACAGGACAGCACGGCAUUACAAAUCGAGUCGUUGUUGCCCCCUUUAGAGGCGGAACAACCCAUUAUGCAUAUUGAUACCCAAGCUCUGGACAUUGGCGUUGAAGCAGAACAACUAGAAAUCUCUUCACAAUUGCGAGACUCCAUUGCAACUGAUAUUUGGAAUGACUACAUCCAUGAUUUUUCAGCCAUGUAAAUCAUCUUUGGUAACAGUUUCAGGUUAGGAUUGAAAUUAUUUCAGGAUCGAGAACCAUAUGAAGAUUUUGGUUGUGAUUCCAUGCUGUACAUUGGCCCUUCUGUUCAUAGAAAGGAAAGAUAUGGGUAGAUCAUACAUUUCAAACAUUGCGUUGUCACAUGGUUUCCUGAAAGGUGGCGACUGAACAGGAAGUUGAUCACAGACUACCUUUCAUUACUUCUGAGAGGCCAACCAAUCUGUUGAUAUUGAUGCAAAAAGUUUGAUCUUAAAUUUCUAAGGAUCGGUGAUCUGUGUGAUGUGGGCACGUUAGCCGGUUCGUGAAUUUAAUCAAGUAAAAGACAUGUUUCGUUUGCACGUCUUGAGAAUUUCUCGUCGCCCUCUCCGCUAUCUUAAAUUUUUGAGAAAUACUUAUAAAGAUAUUAUAAAAAAUAAUCUCAUGAACUGAUGUGUCUUUAUGUAAUUUGUCAGAUUAUAAAAUUAUUUUUAUUGUAAAAUAGAUCUAAUGAAUUUUAUGAAGUUAUGUAGAUUAUUUUUAUAUAAUCUUUUUAGCUGGAUCUCACCUCAGACCUACACAUGAUCCCCUAAUCCCAAUAUAACGUCGCCAGAAUGGAGUUGGGCCAGCUGUGUGUGGAUUGCUCCUGUCCCUGACUGAACUGAACUGUUGAAUGAAUGCAUAUAC
This is an RNA transcript of Juglans microcarpa x Juglans regia, 2131 nucleotides long. It is a transcript of the gene named putative nuclease HARBI1, with no coding region annotated. The record is from RefSeq and is a predicted model, not a curated record. NCBI's taxonomy places the organism in Eukaryota, Viridiplantae, Streptophyta, Magnoliopsida, Fagales, Juglandaceae. The transcript has 5 exons.